Molecule: ribosomal RNA, 468 nt
Filed under: uncultured bacterium
Lineage: Bacteria
Description: partial 16S ribosomal RNA
Rfam family: Bacterial small subunit ribosomal RNA
Source: RNAcentral
GACGAACGCUGGCGGCGUGCUUCACACAUGCAAGUCGAACGGAAAGGCCCUGCUUUUGUUGGGUGCUCGAGUGGCGAACGGGUGAGUAACACGUGAGUAACCUGCCCUUGACUUUGGGAUAACUUCAGGAAACCGGGGCUAAUACCGGAUAGGAGCUCCUGCUGCAUGGUGGGGGUUGGAAAGUUUCGGCGGUUGGGGAUGGACUCGCGGCUUAUCCGCUUGUUGGUGGGGUAGUGGCUUACCAAGGCUUUGACGGGUAGCCGGCCUGAGAGGGUGACCGGCCACAUUGGGACUGAGAUACGGCCCAGACUCCGACGGGAGGCAGGAGUGGGGAAUAUUGCACAAUGGGCGGAAGCCUGAUGCAGCAACGCCGCGUGCGGGAUGACGGCCUUCGGGUUGUAAACCGCUUUCGCCUGUGACGAAGCGUGAGUGACGGUAAUGGGUAAAGAAGCACCGGCUAACUACGUG